Molecule: long non-coding RNA, 530 nt
Filed under: Salmo salar (Atlantic salmon)
Lineage: Eukaryota; Metazoa; Chordata; Actinopteri; Salmoniformes; Salmonidae
Description: lncRNA (ENSSSAG00000106398.1)
Source: RNAcentral
GUUUUGAAACACAUUGAAAUCGUCCCCCUCGAAUCUUAUUGGCUCUCUUGUUGAAACAGGCCCUGAAGAUUUAUGUUAUACAACGUUUGACAUGUUUUAACGAACCUAAAUGGGAAAAAAUUGUUUUUUUCCGACACGGCUGUCCCGCGGCCGGCAGAGCUUUUGGAUACUGCCUUCAGACGCGCUAACAACAGCAAGCUAAUGGAACAUAAAGGAUGGACUUUUUCGACCGAAAAUACAUCUGUUGUGGACCUGGGAUUCCUGGAAGUGCUUUCUGAUGAAGACAACUAAAGAGGACUUCACACUCACUCAGAGGCAGAGCCAGUAUGAUAUCUCACCUUGCAGCUUCUGCCUGAGAGAACCGAUGGGGCCAGACACAUACUGAUUGUGUUGUGCCAACGAGAAAAAAGGUAAUUUGUUCACCCUUCACACAAAUCAAGAAUGACAUUGCAACAAAAUAGGACAGUGUGGGGGGAGGUCAGUCUGUGUACUUAGCAUUUAUAAGAUUUGGCCAAACAGGCAGGGGCCAU